Molecule: ribosomal RNA, 253 nt
Filed under: uncultured bacterium
Lineage: Bacteria
Description: partial 16S ribosomal RNA
Rfam family: Bacterial small subunit ribosomal RNA
Source: RNAcentral
GACGUAGGAGGCGAGCGUUGUCCGGAUUCAUUGGGCGUAAAGAGCACGCAGGCGGUUUGGCAAGUCGGGUGUGAAAACCCGAAGCUCAACUUCGGGCCUGCAUCCGAAACUGCCCGACUAGAGGUAGGUAGGGGAGAUCGGAAUUCCUGGUGUAGCGGUGAAAUGCGCAGAUAUCAGGAGGAACACCGGUGGCGAAGGCGGAUCUCUGGGCCUUACCUGACGCUCAGGUGCGAAAGCUAGGGGAGCGAACAGG